RNAcentral lists this ribosomal RNA (266 nucleotides) under uncultured prokaryote. RNAcentral describes it as "partial 16S ribosomal RNA". It matches the Rfam family "Bacterial small subunit ribosomal RNA", at positions 524 to 789 of the family's 1533-position model. The record is from RNAcentral.
UACGUAGGUGGCAAGCGUUAUCCGGAAUUAUUGGGCGUAAAGAGCGCGCAGGUGGUUGAUUAAGUCUGAUGUGAAAGCCCACGGCUUAACCGUGGAGGGUCAUUGGAAACUGGUCGACUUGAGUGCAGAAGAGGGAAGUGGAAUUCCAUGUGUAGCGGUGAAAUGCGUAGAGAUAUGGAGGAACACCAGUGGCGAAGGCGGCUUCCUGGUCUGUAACUGACACUGAGGCGCGAAAGCGUGGGGAGCAAACAGGAUUAGAUACCCGU